CGGACGGGUGAGUAAUGUCUGGGAAACUGCCUGAUGGAGGGGGAGUAACUACUGGAAACGGUAGCUAAUACCGCAUAACGUCGCAAGACCAAAGAGGGGGACCUUCGGGCCUCUUGCCAUCAGAUGUGCCCAGAUGGGAUUAGCUAGUAGGUGGGGUAACGGCUCACCUAGGCGACAUCCCUAGCUGGUCUGAGAGGAUGACCAGCCACACUGGAACUGAGACACGGUCCAGACUCCUACGGGAGGCAGCAUG
RNAcentral lists this ribosomal RNA (253 nucleotides) under uncultured bacterium. RNAcentral describes it as "partial 16S ribosomal RNA". It matches the Rfam family "Bacterial small subunit ribosomal RNA", at positions 99 to 353 of the family's 1533-position model. The record is from RNAcentral.